GCCCCGUCCUUCAGUCGGUAGAUCUCUGUAAUUAGAUCUGCCAAGUCUAACGUAUCAUCAGUUACGCCGAUUAGCGCUUCCAACCGUGCAACUCUGUCGCGCAGGUCCGAUGUAGACCCACCCGCCAUGUUCAAGAGUUACAACCUGCUCCGCUCUGAUACCAGUUGUUACAGAGUUAAUUUUCGCAAAAUCAACACUGCACGGCAGUAGCUCGCAGCCACUUCAGCCCGUCACUUUUUCACACAACACAGCCUUACUUAGACAAUUUCAGGCUUGAACCAAACUUAAGAACACACACACAGUUUACGGGUAAAACCCAACCUUUAUUAUCUCUCUCAGAAUAAUACAAGGAAUCACGUUUUUAGGCUUGGCUCACAAGUGUUUUCUGAAUGCCUUAGCCAUAUACGAAAUGCAUAUAAAUAAAGGGGCUGCCAAUGGCAGUUACAAAGGGGGACAGUUACAAAGGGGAUCAUGUCAGCCACUUGCCCAUGAUCUUUGAUCAUGUCUUCAACCACUUGCCCAUGAUCUCGGACAUGCAUUCAACCACUCGCCCAUGAUCUCGGAUGUGGCUGCUUUGCCCACAGCUUCAUCAUGUGCCGCGCCCCAGCUUCGUCAUGUGCCGCGCACACAGCUUCGUCACAUGCCGCGCAUGCUUGCAUCCGGCCUGCCCGCACCUUGCCCCGCUUUAGCCUUGGACCUUGCCUCGCCCUUAACUUCAUAGCCACGCCCUGCCAUGAGUUAAGCCGUCCCACCGAUCCGCGCGCAUGCCUUUGUCAAGUGCCAUGCGUCUAUUGCCUUAGCCGAUGCCCACAAACUCAAGGCUGCCUUGCCGACACUCCAGCCGCCUUGUCUUUGCUGUCUUGCCUAAGCCCAUCACCACUUAGACACUCGCCCAGCGCCAUACAUUGCNN
RNAcentral lists this long non-coding RNA (911 nucleotides) under Nicotiana benthamiana. RNAcentral's name for it is "long non-coding RNA (NBEN_LNC035157)". Lineage: Eukaryota; Viridiplantae; Streptophyta; Magnoliopsida; Solanales; Solanaceae. The record is from RNAcentral.